AACAACAUCAACAUCAACGGUAGAAAACCCAGCUUCCCCAUUCACUGUUCUACCCCUUCAGUACAUCCAUUUGUGGCUAAAAAAUUAAGGACUUUUAGGUGUUCAGUCCAUGAUUCCCUGAUUUGGGCAAGAAUCAAUUCUUUCUUUUCUCCAUCUCUCUUGUUGAUUCUUGAGUACCCUUUGUCUCACUAUGGAUAUCAAAAAUUUUAGAAACAACUUUGAAAUUUUGAAUUUGAAGUCCACUCUUUCAAAACCCUACCUUCCCCUAUAAAUAGAUAGCAGCAAGGGACAAGGGUGAAGGAGGAGGAUUUUGGA
Molecule: long non-coding RNA, 315 nt
Filed under: Capsicum annuum
Lineage: Eukaryota; Viridiplantae; Streptophyta; Magnoliopsida; Solanales; Solanaceae
Description: long non-coding RNA (CANN_LNC020814)
Source: RNAcentral